This 235-nucleotide ribosomal RNA is filed under the name uncultured Actinomycetales bacterium. Its description in RNAcentral is "partial 16S ribosomal RNA". It matches the Rfam family "Bacterial small subunit ribosomal RNA", at positions 96 to 334 of the family's 1533-position model. The record is from RNAcentral. Lineage: Bacteria; Bacillati; Actinomycetota; Actinomycetes; Actinomycetales.
UGGCGAACUGGUGAGUAACACGUGGGUGAUCUGCCCUGCACUCUGGGAUAAGCCUGGGAAACUGGGUCUAAUACCGGAUAGGACCAUGCUUUAGUGUGUGUCGUGGAAAGUUUUUUCGGUGUAGGAUGAGCCCGCGGCCUAUCAGCCUGUUGGUGGGGUAAUGGCCUACCAAGGCGGCGACGGGUAGCCGGACUGAGAGGUUGGUCGGCCACAUUGGGACUGAGAUACGGCCCAG